CUUUAUUCUGAAAAUUUCCCUAAAUUAUUUCCUUCGAGUUAUUGAACAAAAUCUCUCUCACACUAUCUUCAUUCUAGAAAUUAUUCUCUCACUUAUCUUCGUCUCUUCAGGAACCAAAUGAACAACCAAUUAUAGCUAUUAAAACUAAUGUAAUGGCUGCUCAAGGUGUUGGCGAAGUUGUAAUUGAAGGUCCUAACAACCUUGGUAUUCCAAAGGCUCAACUUGAGCCCUAUAAGAUAUUUUUACAGCAACAAAUUGAGGUAUUCGAGAUUGACUAUGCAAAGGCUUUGAAGUCGGCUUUGAUAUCAGAAACUUCAUACAUACGGGGGCUCUUCAUGAACUAUGAUUGGCCAUGAAGGUUCAAACAUGAUUGGCAUCACGCAAAAACGAACAUGUUAGUCAAAUGUCUCUUGUCGAUUUGUUUUCUUGAAGUCAAUUACAUCUUUGUUUGUGGCAUAGCCUGUGAAAUGCCACGACUUAGUCUAUUGUAUUUAGUUGUUCAGCCGAAAAUUUCAAG
Solanum pennellii is the source of this 517-nucleotide long non-coding RNA. RefSeq lists it as uncharacterized. The record is from RefSeq and is a predicted model, not a curated record. Lineage: Eukaryota; Viridiplantae; Streptophyta; Magnoliopsida; Solanales; Solanaceae. The transcript has 4 exons.